RNAcentral lists this ribosomal RNA (21 nucleotides) under Ostrinia nubilalis (European corn borer). Its description in RNAcentral is "partial 5.8S ribosomal RNA". The record is from RNAcentral. Lineage: Eukaryota; Metazoa; Arthropoda; Insecta; Lepidoptera; Crambidae.
CACUAUAAACCAUUACCCUGG